AGUAUCAUUAAGUGAAUACAUAGCUUAAUGAGGGGAACUCAGGGAACUGAAACAUCUAAGUACCUGAAGGAAGAGAAAGAAAUUCGAUUCCGUAAGUAGCGGCGAGCGAACGCGGAUUAGCCCAAACCAAUAAAGUUUUCUUUAUUGGGGUUGCGGACAUAUCAUAACGAAGAGGUAUCGUAAUUGAAGAGGUUUGGAAAGACCCACCACAGAAGGUAAUAGUCCUGUAUGUUAAACGAGAAGUCUUUAGAUAUGAUCCAGAGUACCACGGGACACGUGAAACCCUGUGGGAAGCAGGAGGGACCACCCUCCAAGGCUAAAUACUACCUAGUGACCGAUAGCGUAUAGUACCGUGAGGGAAAGGUGAAAAGAACCCCGGGAGGGGAGUGAAAUAGAACCUGAAACCCUGCACUUACAAGCUGUGGAAGCACAUUUCUUGUGUGACCGCGUACUUUUUGUAGAACGGGCCAACGAGUUACGUUAAGUAGCAAGGUUAAGCACUUAAGGUGUGGAGCCGUAGCGAAAGCGAGUUUUAACUGAGCGUUCAGUUACUUGACGUAGACCCGAAACCGGGCGACCUACCCAUGAGCAGGAUGAAGCGAAAGUAAAAUUUCGUGGAGGUCCGAACCCACGAGCGUUGAAAAGCUCGGGGAUGACUUGUGGGUAGCGGUGAAAUUCCAAUCGAGCCCGGAGAUAGCUGGUUCUCCCCGAAAUAGCUUUAGGGCUAGCCUCAAGGUGAGAGAUACGGAGGUAGAGCACUGAAUGUCCUAGGGGGUAUUGCACCUACCGAAGACUAUCAAACUCCGAAU
RNAcentral lists this ribosomal RNA (809 nucleotides) under Clostridioides difficile. RNAcentral describes it as "bacterial LSU rRNA". It matches the Rfam family "Bacterial large subunit ribosomal RNA", at positions 147 to 961 of the family's 2925-position model. Lineage: Bacteria; Bacillati; Bacillota; Clostridia; Peptostreptococcales; Peptostreptococcaceae. The record is from RNAcentral.